This 492-nucleotide ribosomal RNA is filed under the name uncultured bacterium. RNAcentral describes it as "partial 16S ribosomal RNA". It matches the Rfam family "Bacterial small subunit ribosomal RNA", at positions 29 to 507 of the family's 1533-position model. The record is from RNAcentral.
AGUGAACGCUGGCGGUAGGCCUAACACAUGCAAGUCGAACGGCAGCACAGUAAGAGCUUGCUCUUACGGGUGGCGAGUGGCGGACGGGUGAGGAAUACAUCGGAAUCUACUUUUUCGUGGGGGAUAACGUAGGGAAACUUACUCUAAUACCGCAUACGACCUACGGGUGAAAGCAGGGGAUCUUCGGACCUUGCGCGAUUGAAUGAGCCGAUGUCGGAUUAGCUAGUUGGCGGGGUAAAGGCCCACCAAGGCGACGAUCCGUAGCUGGUCUGAGAGGAUGGUCAGCCACACUGGAACGGAGACACGGUCCAGACUCCUACGGGAGGCAGCAGUGGGGAAUAUUGGACAAUGGGCGCAAGCCUGAUCCAGCCAUACCGCGUGGGUGAAGAAGGCCUUCGGGUUGUAAAGCCCUUUUGUUGGGAAAGAAAAGCAGCAGGUUAAUACCCCGCUGUUCUGACGGUACCCAAAGAAUAAGCACCGGCUAACUUCGUG